Molecule: unclassified non-coding RNA, 222 nt
Filed under: uncultured fungus
Lineage: Eukaryota; Fungi
Description: sequence contains ITS1
Source: RNAcentral
UUGAUUCAUUUUUGUUUUGCUCGCUACGGAGCCACUCAGAAUGUAACCGCUGUGAGAAACAGGAGAGUUUUGGUCCUCCGGCGGGCGCACGUUGCAUCCGGGGCUGGCCGUGAGACCGCGCCCGGGGCGACCCCGCCGAGGCAACAGAAGUAGGUAUGUUCACAUUGGGGUUUGGGAGUUGUAAACUCGGUAAUGAUCCCUCCGCUGGUUCACCAACGGAGA